ACACAUGCAAGUCGAGCGGAAACGAGUUAUCAGAACCUUCGGGGGACGAUAACGGCGUCGAGCGGCGGACGGGUGAGUAAUGCCUAGGAAAUUGCCCUGAUGUGGGGGAUAACCAUUGGAAACGAUGGCUAAUACCGCAUGAUGCCUACGGGCCAAAGAGGGGGACCUUCGGGCCUCUCGCGUCAGGAUAUGCCUAGGUGGGAUUAGCUAGUUGGUGAGGUAAGGGCUCACCAAGGCGACGAUCCCUAGCUGGUCUGAGAGGAUGAUCAGCCACACUGGAACUGAGACACGGUCCAGACUCCUACGGGAGGCAGCAGUGGGGAAUAUUGCACAAUGGGCGCAAGCCUGAUGCAGCCAUGCCGCGUGUGUGAAGAAGGCCUUCGGGUUGUAAAGCACUUUCAGUCGUGAGGAAGGUAGUGUAGUUAAUAGCUGCAUUAUUUGACGUUAGCGACAGAAGAAGCACCGGCUAACUCCGUGCCAGCAGCCGCGGUAAUACGGAGGGUGCGAGCGUUAAUCGGAAUUACUGGGCGUAAAGCGCAUGCAGGUGGUUUGUUAAGUCAGAUGUGAAAGCCCGGGGCUCAACCUCGGAAUUGCAUUUGAAACUGGCAGACUAGAGUACUGUAGAGGGGGGUAGAAUUUCAGGUGUAGCGGUGAAAUGCGUAGAGAUCUGAAGGAAUACCGGUGGCGAAGGCGGCCCCCUGGACAGAUACUGACACUCAGAUGCGAAAGCGUGGGGAGCAAACAGGAUUAGAUACCCUGGUAGUCCACGCCGUAAACGAUGUCUACUUGGAGGUUGUGGCCUUGAGCCGUGGCUUUCGGAGCUAACGCGUUAAGUAGACCGCCUGGGGAGUACGGUCGCAAGAUUAAAACUCAAAUGAAUUGACGGGGGCCCGCACAAGCGGUGGAGCAUGUGGUUUAAUUCGAUGCAACGCGAAGAACCUUACCUACUCUUGACAUCCAGAGAACUUUCCAGAGAUGGAUUGGUGCCUUCGGGAACUCUGAGACAGGUGCUGCAUGGCUGUCGUCAGCUCGUGUUGUGAAAUGUUGGGUUAAGUCCCGCAACGAGCGCAACCCUUAUCCUUGUUUGCCAGCGAGUAAUGUCGGGAACUCCAGGGAGACUGCCGGUGAUAAACCGGAGGAAGGUGGGGACGACGUCAAGUCAUCAUGGCCCUUACGAGUAGGGCUACACACGUGCUACAAUGGCGCAUACAGAGGGCGGCCAACUUGCGAAAGUGAGCGAAUCCCAAAAAGUGCGUCGUAGUCCGGAUUGGAGUCUGCAACUCGACUCCAUGAAGUCGGAAUCGCUAGUAAUCGUGGAUCAGAAUGCCACGGUGAAUACGUUCCCGGGCCUUGUACACACCGCCCGUCACACCAUGGGAGUGGGCUGCAAAAGAAGUAGGUAGUUUAACCUUCGGGGGGACGCUUACCAC
RNAcentral lists this ribosomal RNA (1430 nucleotides) under Vibrio parahaemolyticus. RNAcentral's name for it is "16S ribosomal RNA". It matches the Rfam family "Bacterial small subunit ribosomal RNA". The record is from RNAcentral. Lineage: Bacteria; Pseudomonadati; Pseudomonadota; Gammaproteobacteria; Vibrionales; Vibrionaceae.